AUUUUAAAUGGCUGCAGUAUUUUGACUGUACAAAGGUAGCAUAAUAAUUUGUCUUUUAAUUGAAGGCUGGUAUGAAUGGUUGGAUGAGAAAUAUACUUUCUUUAUUUUAUAAGAAAAAUUUAACUUUUUAGUCAAAAGGCUAAGAUAUUAUUAUAGGACGAGAAGACCCUAUAGAACUUUAUUUUCUUUUUAUAUAAUCUUUUUGGUUUAUAACAAGAUUAUAUAUUUAUGUUAAUUAUGUUGGGGUGACAGAAAAAACAAUAUAACUUUUUCUAUUUUUUCCAUUUAUAAAUGUUACUUUUGAUCCUAUAUUAUAGAUAAUAAGAUUAAGUUACCUUAGGGAUAACAGCGUUAUUUUUUUAAAGAGUUCUUAUCGAUAAAAAAGUUUGCGACCUCGAUGUUGGAUUAAAAUAAGUGACAGGAGUAGAAUAUUGUUUACUAGGUCU
Molecule: ribosomal RNA, 446 nt
Filed under: Henrylygus nubilus
Lineage: Eukaryota; Metazoa; Arthropoda; Insecta; Hemiptera; Miridae
Description: partial large subunit ribosomal RNA
Rfam family: Bacterial large subunit ribosomal RNA
Source: RNAcentral